This is a long non-coding RNA of Helianthus annuus (common sunflower), 3553 nucleotides long. RefSeq lists it as uncharacterized. Lineage: Eukaryota; Viridiplantae; Streptophyta; Magnoliopsida; Asterales; Asteraceae. The transcript has 10 exons. The record is from RefSeq and is a predicted model, not a curated record.
UAAUUUUGAUAUCCAUUUUUCUAGCCGUCUCACUCCGAAUCUCAACGAAGACAUCAAUCUUUCAUCAUCGCGAACACUAAUCGCAUCAACAAUCAUCGAGCAUGAGCAUAAUCUGGUGUAAGUUAUUGAUUCUUGUUAUGAAUAUCUCAUCAACUUCUCAUUCGUCCACUAGUUGUCAGCGUUUGUUCUGUUCGUCGUUCAUUGGAUUUUGUGUUACAAGGGUUGAUUUUUGGUUUAUGUCAGACUGAUCUGAGGAGUCUUAGGUAUUAGGGUUUUGUUUCGAAACAUUCUACGCUAUCGUAGUCCAGUUAAGAUUUGUUGUUAAACAGACAUUUGCAAGCGUCGUCGAAGAACUUAUCGAAGCGAGGACUCACUUUCAAUCUAAAGAGUCAAAGAAAUCACAUAUGGAUAAUUUGGCGAGGAAUACAUUAUCAUCGAUGCAAAUAGCGAGGUUAGUAGCACACAACCAGUUGAGGUGAAUUCAUCGAAUACGCGUGCAUGCCUCACAGUGUCCCAAACUUCUUUCUUGGUUUUUGGUGGGUUUUUGCAGCAGAAAAAGCCUACUGCAAAGUGAGAAGUUGGGAGAGAUGCUCACUUUAUGUUUACACGGAUCUGGAGUGGCUGUGCGGAGGGGCAAUGUAGGCGGUUAGAGGUUAGGAUGAUCCGGUUUCACAGCCGUCGGUUGUGACUGGUGGUGUUUAUGGAGAAGACGGACUAGGGUUACACUUUGAACCCUCGACAGCGGCGAUGGUUUUUCAAGGUUACGCUCUGGAGAUAUCACCGUAUUCAACGAACACUUCGAGCCAACAAAAGUGGAAAGCUUAUAUAGUGAGUUCGUUGAUGGUGGUGAAGUGAAAUUCCGGCAAGACUUUUAGUCCAAUAGCACUGGAGAUAGGAUUUUCCAGUAACACUUUUAGUCAUUGAUUGGUCAUUUAUUUUAAACUAUUUAAAGAGGUUUGCUGGCUGUUAAGAUCCAAGUACAUCUCAAAACAACUUCGGUCACCUGUGGGAUCACCGGAGCAGUCAACAUGGACUCUAAUGGAUCAACGAGUGCCAAAACGGAUGGUCUGAGGUGAUUUUGCUUUAGCAGAGCAAUAUUGGCAGCUCCUAUGAUGGAAAUGUUUUGUGGAGGUAUGUUGAUUUGAUAUAUGAGACACGAAAGUACACCUCUUGCGCACAAAACUAUUUUAAUCAAGUUGUUAAGGCUUCCCAGGUAACUGGUAUAAUGAAUGCAGUCUAAAGUUCUCUCUUCUUUUCUGAGGCUUCCUUAUCUUCAACUAUCUGUUCUCUCUGGUAAUGAGUUCCUAUUAAUUUGCAUAAAUUCUAUGAACACAACCAAAAUGACUUUAUGUACAAAAUGGAGAAGCUUAAUGUUGGUUAUUCUUGAACCCACCGCCUCCGCUUCCCGGUGGGUUAUUUGGUAGUGAUGCUGACACGGUCUAACGACCACCAUUGCCUUGCAAAAAUGAGGUAAUCACUAUAACCGUUGGUAACCCUAACUUUUGUUUGGGUUCUGUAUGUCUUAUUUGGUCCCUCAGAGAUUUGAGUAUUGUUUCUGCCUUUCUGGUGGGUUUGGCCUUCGGUUGUGUUGCUUACGGUGGCAUUCGUGGUCCUUAUGGGUGACUGGUGGCAUCUUCUAUGACGUGCUCUGCCGCAUGUUGAGACUAUUAAACAGGCAUGUUGUUUUGAGUAUUUUACUUUUGAAAUUUGGGUAUCAUUUCAUCAGUAUUUGUCGCUCGGUUGCGAUAAGUUAAAAAUAAGCUAAUCUAAUCUAAAUCUAAAUAUAUUAAUAUCUGAUCGCUGGGAAUAGUAACUUAACGACGUUACUGUUUUGACGUUAAAGUUAACGACGUUUCUCUUCCUGCUCUAAAAUUCAUUGAGCCUUUGUAGUUAAAUUGGACAUAUACAUAGUGUUAGGCUGAUUAGCGUAUGGCCUGUUUGGACUUGGGACACUCACCUUCCUCCCAGGUAUUGUCUAUAAGGAUAAAAAUAGAAUUAAACAAAAUUUAAAAACAUAGUGGUAGGUUGAUUCAUUCUUGGUUUGUGAUGUCUCCUUUCCUAUUUGGUGUGAUAUUCGAGAUGGCUAUGUGAAAAGCCGAUUCGCCCUCACAAAGAAACCAGUUUGUAUAAAUGCAACUACAAUGGGAUGAUUGGUUAGGAUAAACAAUCUGAGCCAUUAACCUGCUGAUAAACUAAUUUGUUUGAACUAGACAGACAAAUAAUGUGGAUUUGGUGGUACUGAUGUUGGGGGCAUUCCUCAUCAGUCAUCAGAACCCUAAUUGCUUUGCCCUUCAUUUUACCAAGACGGAUUUACGAUAAGUUUUCGAAGUGUAAAAUUCAGCGAUUUUUCAUCUUGGCUUUGGUAUUGGAAAUCGAUCGGCUUGAUACAGGUGUGAUUUCAUAAUUUUGUGAUAUUUGUUUGAAUUAGUAUCAUGAAUGACGAUUGAUGAUUAUAUAGAUUACGUUUUUCUGUUUGAAUUAUGGUAUUUGCAGUUCUUUUGUUUAUUAAUUUUUUCUAUCAAAGUGAGAUCCAAUUCGUUUUCAGUUUUGUGUAUUAGGUGUUGAUCCUCAGAGAAAAGUUGAGCUAAUUGAGGCAAGUCCCAUUCUUCAUUAUAUCAUAUAUUGGGGACCCACAAUGUGGAACGCAUGUAUGGGCUCGACCUUAGACAACUUCAAACUCAAAAUGUUGUAUGUUAAACCUUAAAAGUUGAAGUGAUGAUCUUAUUACUUUUGCAAGUGAGUAUAUAAGAAAAUGGUAAGAAGAAACGUUUUCUCAAUCUAGACUUAUUUAGGGCAUCAGAUUGAACUUAUCUACAAAGUUUAAACAAUCCAUAUCUACAUUUUUUGCAGGCAUGAAUUUAAUUUGUAGCAUGUAUCCUGAUAGAAACCUUAUGAAUGGGUUGAAAAGACUGGUUCGGAGUGGGAUUUUAACUCCGAUAGAAGACAUUAGGAGACUUUUUUGAUUAGCUAAAAUGUAGUCUGUUGCUUAGAGUUACUGUCCUGUUGUACUUGCAUAGAUACAUUUAUGCUAAAUCUUUUUCAACGAUAUAUUGUGAUUGUUUUUACAUCAUGGUCAAUUGUGCGUCGCUUUAUCAAAGGCUCUCCUUAUCCAAGGUUUUUUCUAAGAUUUAAUCAAUCCGUUUUGGCUAAAAGACUUCGAAUACUUCAAAAAAAAGUAAUAAUGUCAUCGUAUUUGGCUAAAAGGGUCAGUUUUGGGGUUUUCACUUAAGUUGGGAUCUACUGGACCAUGGUCCAUUGAUUGACUUCCAGAGAUAAGUUUGGAACACACACAUUCACACACUCAUAAUGGUUGGUUCAAAUGAGAACAACAAAAGGGUUGAGAACUUCAAAAUAAUGUGUUAAUUUAUGUGAUUAAGUUGAAUCAUAUAUGAAUAUUGUUGUAGUGUUGGUUGAGUGGGACACCUUUCUCAGGGAGAAAUAUGUAAACUAAUCGGUUAGCCUAGAGUAAUUGUGGAGUGCUUUCUUGAUUUUUGAACACAAAGUGAAGUUUUGAAAUUCUUUGGUGAUGCAUAUAUACAUUGUUGUUUUGAUU